RNAcentral lists this ribosomal RNA (391 nucleotides) under uncultured eukaryote. Its description in RNAcentral is "SSU rRNA". It matches the Rfam family "Eukaryotic small subunit ribosomal RNA", at positions 82 to 482 of the family's 1831-position model. The record is from RNAcentral.
UGAAACUGCGAAUGGCUCAUUAUAUCAGUUAUAGUUUAUUUGAAGGUCCUUGCUACUUGGAUAACCGUAGUAAUUCUAGAGCUAAUACAUGCAUCAAACCCCGACUUUUGGAAGGGGUGUAUUUAUUAGAUGGAGACCAAUGCGGGGCAACCCGGUAAAUGGUGAUUCAUAAUAACUUUCGGAUCGGUCUUCGGAUCGAUGCUUCAUUCAAGUUUCUGCCCUAUCAGCUUUGGAUGGUAGGGUAUUGGCCUACCAUGGCUUUAACGGGUAACGGAGAAUUAGGGUUCGAUUCCGGAGAGGGAGCCUGAGAAACGGCUACCACAUCCAAGGAAGGCAGCAGGCGCGCAAAUUACCCACUCCCGGCACGGGGAGGUAGUGACGAAAAAUAACG